Molecule: non-coding RNA, 86 nt
Organism: Eucalyptus grandis
Lineage: Eukaryota; Viridiplantae; Streptophyta; Magnoliopsida; Myrtales; Myrtaceae
Source: Rfam
GAAAGCCGUGUGCAAUGAAAAAUGCAAGCACGGUUUGGGGAGGGAUGCGUCGGAUCCCGUAUAACAAGCGAGCUUUUUACCCUCAA